Molecule: ribosomal RNA, 406 nt
Filed under: uncultured bacterium
Lineage: Bacteria
Description: partial 16S ribosomal RNA
Rfam family: Bacterial small subunit ribosomal RNA
Source: RNAcentral
AUUGAACGCUGGCGGCAGGCCUAACACAUGCAAGUCGAGCGAGCGGCGGACGGGUGAGUAAUGUAUGGGGAUCUGCCCGUUAGAGGGGGAUAACUACUGGCAACGGUGGCUAAUACCGUAUACUAUAGGAUGAACCCAUAGGGGAUUAACUAGUAGGUGGGGUAAAGGCACAACUAGGCGACGAUCUCUAGCUGGUCUGAGAGGAUGAUCAGCCACACUGGGAAUGAGACACGGCCCAGACUCAUACGGGAGGCAGCAGUGGGGAAUAUUGAAAAAUGGGCACAAUACUGAUGAAACCAUGCCGCGUGUGUGAAGAAGGCCUUAGGGUUGUAAAAAACUUUCAGCUGGGAGGCGUUACCCGCAGAAGAAGCACCGGCUAACUCCGUGCCAGCAGCCGCGGUAAUUC